RNAcentral lists this long non-coding RNA (409 nucleotides) under Chinchilla lanigera (long-tailed chinchilla). RNAcentral's name for it is "lncRNA (ENSCLAG00000027400.1)". Lineage: Eukaryota; Metazoa; Chordata; Mammalia; Rodentia; Chinchillidae. The record is from RNAcentral.
CGAGAGGCUGCUGUCCUUUCAGGCUGUGCGGAGUUUAGGGAAUGUUCACACUGCGUCUGGUUGGUCCUGGCCAUGCCCUUCACUCACUGACCGGUUUCCAACAAAGGACAGCCCAAGAAGACUGCGUCAUCACUAGCACCUUUCCUGCUGGGUGCCCAGAGGAGAGUCACCACCCUUCCACCCUUCCUGACCUUGUUUCUUUUGGGUCUGCCUCCCUCAGCCUGCUGUAAGAACUGUCCUUGAACUUGGAAAUUCCUAUCUGCAAACUCCGUUCACAGGUGAAUUGAUUGUGCUUCUUAAGGAGUCUGCACAUUUGUACUCUAAUUGGGGAACAUAUGUCCUUUUGUGUUUAUGCUCAAAGUAAGAAAAUUAUCAAGUACUUUUAAUGUUUUGAAUUCUUUAUAUCUUC